This 417-nucleotide unclassified non-coding RNA is filed under the name fungal sp. Its description in RNAcentral is "partial internal transcribed spacer region". The stretch from base 1 to 46 matches the Rfam family "Eukaryotic small subunit ribosomal RNA", at positions 1786 to 1831 of the family's 1831-position model. The record is from RNAcentral. Lineage: Eukaryota; Fungi.
AAGUCGUAACAAGGUUUCCGUAGGUGAACCUGCGGAAGGAUCAUUAACACGUGCUCCACGUACUACCUCCGUGCAUUUGUUUUCAACCUACCUUCGCAUAGCGAGAAAGGAAUCGAGCCAGCUUCAGGAUUUUGAAUGGGCCUUGCAAUGUGCAUGUGCUGCCUGGGUCCGCCACAGACGCCUGAGUUCGCUCGGGUGUCGACGAUUGUAUUUUCGCUGAAGGCAUUUUUAUCAGGCUCUGCUCCCGAUGCGUCCGUUCAAACGCGGGAGUAGGGUCGCCUAUUUUAACCACAUUCACUCUUUUUUGCUAGUUGACUUUUCUCCUGCUGUUGCUGUGUCGCUUGUCGCCUCAGCUCAGCGCGUUUAAUUUAUUUGAACGAAAUCGUACAACUCUUAGCAAUGGAUAUCUCGGUUCUC